Molecule: ribosomal RNA, 472 nt
Filed under: uncultured bacterium
Lineage: Bacteria
Description: bacterial SSU rRNA
Rfam family: Bacterial small subunit ribosomal RNA
Source: RNAcentral
UCGAGAAUCUUCGGCAAUGGACGCAAGUCUGACCCAGCCAUACCGCGUGGGUGAAGAAGGCCUUCGGGUUGUAAAGCCCUUUUGUUGGGAAAGAAAUCCAGCUGGCUAAUACCCGGUUGGGAUGACGGUACCCAAAGAAUAAGCACCGGCUAACUUCGUGCCAGCAGCCGCGGUAAUACGAAGGGUGCAAGCGUUACUCGGAAUUACUGGGCGUAAAGCGUGCGUAGGUGGUCGUUUAAGUCCGUUGUGAAAGCCCUGGGCUCAACCUGGGAACUGCAGUGGAUACUGGACGACUAGAGUGUGGUAGAGGGUAGCGGAAUUCCUGGUGUAGCAGUGAAAUGCGUAGAGAUCAGGAGGAACAUCCAUGGCGAAGGCAGCUACCUGGACCAACACUGACACUGAGGCACGAAAGCGUGGGGAGCAAACAGGAUUAGAUACCCGGGUAGUCCCUGAGCGGGCUGGCAAGGCGCAU